This 2073-nucleotide long non-coding RNA is filed under the name Homo sapiens (human). RNAcentral describes it as "HSALNT0211889". Lineage: Eukaryota; Metazoa; Chordata; Mammalia; Primates; Hominidae. The record is from RNAcentral.
UAAUAAUUUUUUGUUUUAUUUUAUUACGGUAAGAACACUUGACAUGAAAUCUGCACUCUCAACAGAUUUUCAAGUGUAUAAUGCGGUAUUGUUAUCUACGAGAGACAGCAAAACUAACAGAUGGAAUCUCCUUUGGUACUCCUUUGGGCAUUUUUCCUCCUGGCACUGCAACUGUCUGGGUCUAACAUUGGGUCCCAGAAGGAAACACAUUUCAGACAUAGAGCCCUGGGCCUUUUGCCAGCUUCAGAAAUUUGGUUGCCAGGUGUUCCUCAAUGAAAGAUCUUUUGAAGUUUCUGUUUUGAUUCUUACUCAAGAGUGACUAGAAGAUAAACACGUUGAGUAUCAUUUUUGUAUUAUUGAUAUGUGUACUCUUUUAGUACUUCCUGCAUACCAGGAAUUGAGGGGCAUGUGCAAAUGGAGAGAGCAAAGCUUCAGGUCCACUAAAGCUGUAAAUACUUAUGCAUAGGUUAUAGUUUCUGGCAUAUGUAUUUCCUAAUGAUACAAAUUAGGGUGGAGAAGGGAAAAGUGUCAUCAUGGUGCUGUUUCUGCAGCUGCUCCUUCUCUUGUUCUGUUAAAGAGGAAGUUGUCAGCACCCAACAGUAACAAUUAAGUUCAUGUUAGAAGCCACUGGUUGAAAUCCAUGUAGAAGACCUUUGCCUAAUUUAACAUGGCAGUGGGAGACUGGUAUCUGGCAGAGAAUGAAAGAGGAUGCGUUAUUGCAAAGUGGGAAUUUUGAGAUUAUCUACCAAACAAUUUGAAAAAGUCCCUAUUGGUCUUUGAUGCCCCAAGCUCCCAUUUUUGCAUAAGUUUUACUUUGUUACUAUUGUGCGUGUGUAUGUAUGUGUAUACACUUAAGUGUAAAUAUCUGACAGCUACGAUAAAGAAAAUUGAGAAAAAAAAGCAAAGAAAAAUCAUGCAUAACAUCUCUAACCUAGUCACUGUCCUUUUAAUUCUUUUGAAUUUUUCGCAAAAGCUUUCAAAACUAUAGUUAAUAAUUAUAUUUAUAUCAUCAUCAUUUUCCAUUUUAUUCAUUGUGUUUUUUCUUAAAGCCACGUAACAUUCCAUUGAGUAUGCUGUUCUAAAUAUUUUCAAAUGUUGGGUAUAUAGAGUUUUCCUCCAGCUUCUCAAUAUUAUAAUAAUAUAUUCAACAGCUUCACAUACAUAGAAUUUUCUCUAUUUUAUUUUCUUAGAUUGCCACUACAUUUUUAUUGCUCUUGCUACAUAUAAUCAUUGUUUUUCCAAGAGAUAGUACUAAUUGGCACGAUCACUAGCAAUGUAUGAAGUCCAGUUGUGCCACAUCCUUGAAUAUUUUUGUUUACUAAUUUUGCUAGAUUAAUUGAAACAGUCUCAUUAUUUCUUUAAUUAGCACCAGUGAUUGGAUUUUCUUCAUGUGUAUUUACUAGUUGUAUUUCUUUCAUGAAUUGUUUCUCCUUUGCAUACAAAUCUAUUGAGGUCUUGGGAAUUAACUUUAACUUUUAAAAAUGUCUACAUAUGUAUCUCACAUAUUGCUCAUAUUGCUAUCACAUAAAAAUAUCUACUUUUUGGUAUUUUAAGUAUAUCCUUCUGGCUUUAUAUGUGCAUCCAGUUUUGUUUUUUUCAAUGAACAAAUACAAAAUCACGUUAACCUACCUUUUUCUCAUUCUGUAUUCUAAUGCCUUUAUAUGAAAAUUUUAAUAUUUUACAAUUGGUGAUUAAUGCCCUUUCCUGAAAUUUGGAAAAAUGUAUAUAGAAAACUAUAAAGAAGAAAAAUGACCUAUUAUUUUACCACCCAGAGAUAAUGGCUAUCAAUAUAUUUUAGUUCCUUUCCAUUUUUAAUGCAUCCAUGUUUUUCCUCAAAAUUAUCAUGCUAUAUACACACAAAUAUAUGAUGUUUACUGAAUAUUCAGUAUAUUGUUAUUUCAAAAUUAUCAUGGUCUUGGAGGUUUGUUUUCAAUUUUUAUUAUUUUAAAUGUUUUCAGUAAACAUCUUUUUAUAAAAGUCUUUGUUCUUCAGGAACAGAAAACCAAACACCGCAUGUUCUCACUCGUAAGUGAGAGUUGAGCAAUGAGAGCACAUGAACACAGGGAGGGGAAC